RNAcentral lists this ribosomal RNA (497 nucleotides) under uncultured bacterium. RNAcentral describes it as "partial 16S ribosomal RNA". It matches the Rfam family "Bacterial small subunit ribosomal RNA", at positions 28 to 507 of the family's 1533-position model. The record is from RNAcentral.
GAUGAACGCUGGCGGCGUGCCUAAUACAUGCAAGUCGAGCGAACAGACGAGGAGCUUGCUCCUCUGACGUUAGCGGCGGACGGGUGAGUAACACGUGGAUAACCUACCGAUAAAACUGGGAUAACUUCGGGAAACCGGAGCUAAUACCGGAUAAUAUAUUGAACCGCAUGGUUCAAUAUUGCAAGACGGUUUUGCUAUCACUUAUAGAUGGAUCCGCGCCGCAUUAGCUAGUUGGUAAGGUAACGGCUUACCAAGGCAACGAUGCGUAGCCGACCCGAGAGGGUGAUCGGCCACACUGGAACCGAGACACGGUCCAGACUCCUACGGGAGGCAGCCGCAGGGAAUCUUCCGAAAUGGGCGAAAGCCUGACGGAGCACCGCCGCGUGAGUGAUGAAGGUCUUCGGAUCGUAAAACUCUGUUAUUAGGGAAGAACAAAUGUGUAAGUAACUAUGCACGUCUUGACGGUACCUAAUCAGAAAGCCACGGCUAACUACGUG